UCCCGUAUAGAUAUAAAAGGAGAGCUCUAAAGAAGGUGUUUUGUCUCUGGUGGAAUUCAGAAGCUUAGAAAAGUGGGAGAGACCUGUUGUUGGAUCUGGGAUGAUGGUCUCGUUUUAUGGGAGAAGAUGCCAUCUCUAUUGGGCAGGGGCCUGUUUGCCCAGAAAGUUGUUAUCUUCUCCCCCAAUCAGAGAUCUAGAUCUACCAAAACACCAAAGAGAGGAACUCGGUUGGUUUUGUUUGUAACAGAAGCCAAGGUCGGUCUUGAGCUUAGAUUUCGACAGCGGUUCUUAAUAGGAAUAUGCUUUCCGAUAACCUAUCUGCUCCUGAGUCUCCUGGAACAAUAGUUUCUCUUUGCCUUUCACAUCUCUCUUGCUCUGAGGCCAUGACUUCACAAUGUUACUUUUUUCUUUAGAAAGAAGUUGACGGUGCUUUUUUUUUGUUCGUGUCUGACUGAUGACUAUAGGUCGGGUCGGACCCGGCCCUUAGACUUAAACAUUGCUACAGUUCCCGCUCAUAUGGACCCACCAGUAGUGCUUUUAAGCCUAGUUCGAAAGCUCCCGGUUCCCCUAGGUUUACCAUUUUGCUUUUCUUUGUUUGGGUUUCGCGGUUUUCUCAUAGGCAUCAUCACAACCAGGAUCCUGAAGCUCGUUUGGUUUUGCUUUAAGAAUCGCUCUUUGAUUUUGAUUGCACACAAUGUCGAAUCCUCGUGAGAUUCUCCUUUGAUGGAAACCCGAAGCGAACUCUGUGCGGUGCAGGUUGAGUCUGCCCCGUGCUACUCUCCGAGCUCAACAUGUAACAAGGCUUGAACUGCCUCGUCCGUUUCCACCUCCAGAGAUUCCUUCCUGCUGCUAAUGAAGAUGGACCAAUUCCCUUAUAUCUAGUCUUCCCCAUCGCAGAUUAUCAUGUUCCCGAUCCAGUAGAGAUACCUGAUCAUGCUCCUCAUG
Rosa rugosa (rugosa rose) is the source of this 945-nucleotide long non-coding RNA. RefSeq lists it as uncharacterized. The transcript is spliced from 3 exons. The record is from RefSeq and is a predicted model, not a curated record. NCBI's taxonomy places the organism in Eukaryota, Viridiplantae, Streptophyta, Magnoliopsida, Rosales, Rosaceae.